UGUAAGAUAUCGCAAAAUAAAUAAUAAAUAUUACUGGACGAAAAAUCUUAUUGGAUUUCUUAGGAAUUUUUAGAAAUUUUCUGGGAUUUAAACGGAGUCCGUAUGACCCGUUUUGAUGGGAUGGAUUCGGGGUACCGCGAAGCCUAUUUGGGAUACCCAUUUAAAUGGGAGUUGAUUAAGGAUUUAACUUAAGGUUAAUUAACUUAAACCUAAGUUUUAUUUUCUUUAAAUUUUUCUCCCGAUUCACUUCCUUCCCCGAUCCCUUCUUCCCUGACUCCCCUCCCCCGCGAUCCGAUUUCAUCGCCAGUCGUCGGGAAGCGACGCCGAUCGCCGGCACAAGGCAGCCCUUGAUCGUUGAGGAGGAAAGCUACCGCCCCGACCUCUCCCCUUUCUCUCUCCCUCGCCGCGAGUCUCUUUUCUCCCGAGCCCCGAGCCCCUUUCUCUCGAUUUCUCCUCGUCGAUCGUCGACCCACGAGACGUCGGAGCCAAGCUCGCAAGGUCUCCGAUCACCUCUCCUCACCGGAUCUUGAAGGUACUAAAGAUGUCCAAGCCAUCUCUGGAGGUGUGAUCGCUUCCUCGGUUGGUCCUUUUUCCCCGUCCAGGAGAUCCGAUUAGGGUUCAAUGAGGGGCAUAGAUCCGCGUCGUCUCAAGCCAAUUGAACUUCUCAUUCAUCCUCUUCAAUUCGUUUGCUGGAGAGUGAUCGGUUGCUCUUCAUCAACCGGAUUGGAGUAGGCGAGGGCACCUGGAAAGGACCAAAUCUAGGUUGUUCUUGUUCUGGAUUGGAGGAAGGCAUCGGAUCAAGGUAUUGGUAGAUUUCUCUUCUACCGAUCACUGCUUCUCCACUUCUUGAAGCUGUGGAGGUCACGGGUGAGGAGGCAAGGGACUAUUGAGGACUUGGAUUCGGGACGAGUGUCUCGACGUGGGAUUAUUUGGCACGAUCGACAGAUCAAGG
Molecule: long non-coding RNA, 952 nt
Organism: Zingiber officinale
Lineage: Eukaryota; Viridiplantae; Streptophyta; Magnoliopsida; Zingiberales; Zingiberaceae
Exons: 3
Source: RefSeq, a predicted model, not a curated record